RNAcentral lists this ribosomal RNA (258 nucleotides) under uncultured bacterium. RNAcentral's name for it is "partial 16S ribosomal RNA". It matches the Rfam family "Bacterial small subunit ribosomal RNA", at positions 524 to 780 of the family's 1533-position model. The record is from RNAcentral.
GACGUAGGGCGCGAGCGUUGUCCGGAUUUAUUGGGCGUAAAGAGCUCGUAGGCGGCUCAUUGCGUCAACCGUGAAAACCAGCAGCUCAACUGUUGGCUUGCGGUUGAUACGGGUGGGCUGGAGUUCGGUAGGGGAGACUGGAAUUCCUGGUGUAGCGGUGAAAUGCGCAGAUAUCAGGAGGAACACCGGUGGCGAAGGCGGGUCUCUGGGCCGAUACUGACGCUGAGGAGCGAAAGCGGUGGGGAGCGAACAGGAUUA